RNAcentral lists this long non-coding RNA (1796 nucleotides) under Gallus gallus (chicken). Lineage: Eukaryota; Metazoa; Chordata; Aves; Galliformes; Phasianidae. The record is from RNAcentral.
GAAUACAGUAAACAGCACCGGACAGUGGUAUUUACCUUCACUGUUCUUAGCAAAGUUCAGCUUUAUAAGGGAUUUGGCAUCUAGUUUUUCUCCUGUGAUUGGAUUGGUUCCGUACUUCUUUAUCCAAGGAACGAUGCUUAGUAUGUCAAAGACUGUCCCAUCUGGUGUACAAACGGGGUAUUCAAACGGCUGCAGAGACAAACUGCAGUGAUCAAACGAUAUACGCCUGAAGUUAGCUCGGGGAUGGUCCGCCUUCUUGCCGCCGUAGAACUGCGUGUACUCGGCGCAGGUGAUGUACAUUUUGUCCUUCUGGUGCUGCCGCUUCCCCAUGGCCGCGUCCCGCCGUCCGGAGCUGCGUGAGGACCCCCUUUGGCCGCGCUCCUUCCGGUGCGGUGCAGCAGCGAACGGCUCCGCAGGAAACACGGGCGGCGCGCGGCGUUCCGGGGCGGCACCACAGCGGCCGUGCGGGGCGGGGAGCAAAGCGAGCGGCAAACCUCGGGCGGCGCGUGACGUGCGGACGGCUCUCGUAGUCCUUCACGGAGCCUUUAAGACUUAACGACAAAGGGCCGAUCUUCUCCUAGCUAAUUACUUUCGAAACGGAACGCUGAAGCCCCGUUAAACGGCGUUACCAGAGAGCACGGCCAUCUCUCGGCCCGGCGCCGCCCGUCACGGGGUCCGGAGCGCGAGGACAGCCGUUGCGCGCGCGGGCAUCGGGCGGGAACGGCACGCGGGAACGGCACGCGGCAGCGCCCCGCCGCGCGGGGAGGAACGGCGCGCUCGCUUCUUUGCCAGAAGCAGGCGCGGCUUUCCGAACAGAACCGGCUGGCCGAUGGAGGCCGAGGGCAAUAACAAAACCACCGCAGAAGCGAACUGCGGGCGGCGCGCGGCACCGUCCCGCUGUUACGGAGUCCCACAGAAGGAGCGGGGCCGCGGCUGGGUGAAGCUCAGCCCGAGCUGCAGCGCCGACCCUUCCCGCAGCCGGCCGCGUGUCCGAGCUCCGCGGGGAAGAAGGAUCGCCCGGAGAGCGCGGUUCACGUUCACUCCUGCGCGCGUUCUCGCGAUUCGGCACGAUGAGCAGCGCCGGAGAUGCCCGUUGCCCGCCCUCCGUAAGGACAAUUCAAGGCCACGUUCCUGCUGUGCUGUUUUUUAAACCAAUGCAGUCUUCAUUUAUUUGUGUACUUACAAAAAGAGCCUCCCGUCGUUCCCUCCCACCCCCCGAUGCCGUUUACAAACAUUAAAAAUUAAAAACCAGAUGAGGACGCGUUAAUUUGGUUGAAUUAUUUUGAGACGUAGCUGUUGUCAUUAGAGUUAGGUUUCCUACGAGAUGACUUUAGAGACAGCCUGAUGAUUGGCCAAAUAAAACUCCGUAUCACAAGUUAGCAAAUUCUAGUACAAAAAUAGUCCUUGUGUUAGACCAGCCUCUUGGUAUUAUUACUAUAUUCACAGGAAAGUCGAUCGGCUGCAUAAUCCCAUAAUAUUUAUGAAACUCCUUUUUAUGCGGCUCACUCAUCUAAUUCAAUAUAGUGUUGAGCCUCAAUAAAUCCUUAGGCAAAAAAACCCCAACAGGGUUAAAUACGCUGUUCAGUGUACUCUGAAGUACUGUGCUUUUCACAGGACAUCCAAGAAACCCCACCAACACUUCUCAGCUGAUUUUGAUAUUAGAAGGAAAUCAGAUCCAAAAGGACCCCCCCGAAGUACACACACACCUUUCCGUAGAAACAGAGGCCACAGCUCUGAUGGUCACGUUUCACUUGGGAAGCUGUCUGUGCUCAACCGCUCCUCCCCACAGAUCCACU